This 2271-nucleotide long non-coding RNA is filed under the name Homo sapiens (human). RNAcentral's name for it is "HSALNT0289887". The record is from RNAcentral. Lineage: Eukaryota; Metazoa; Chordata; Mammalia; Primates; Hominidae.
CUCCUGGCCUCAGGUGAUCCGCCUGCCUCGGCCUCCCACAGUGCUGGGAUGACAGGCGUGAGCCACUACGCCCGGCACGGGUCCAUCUUUUAGACCUGUUAACCACCGAGGCCCCCGGGACAGGGCCUCUUCCCUUCUCUCGAGUGUACUUCCACUCCCACUUUGCUGCAGAAGUGUCGGGCUUUCCUAUCCUGUGUGGUGGAGACGGUCAGCCAUCCAGCGAAGGCCAUGCUCUCCUCCAGGCCAUAGAGAGGUCCGUGUGCAGCUGCCUGACGAGAACUGCAUUCCCCAGCCCCAGCGGCGUCAGGGAGCACCUCACCGUGUGUUCUCGCCCAGGGCAGUGGAGACAAGCCAUUGGGAGUGCUCUCUCCAUGGCCUCUUCCUGCCGCCACCUGCACAUAGAAGCUGAGUGGACCAACCAGGAGCAAGCUGGGGUCCCCGGGUGACCAAGGACAAGGAGAAGUUGCCUGCGAUGUGGGAAGACUGGGCCUUUUCAUGAGGGAACAACACCUAUCCUGGUGGUGACGAGAAUUUUGCCAUCCUCUAAGCAGACUUCAGUGAGGUGCACUGUCCCAAAUGAUGAUACACCUGCAGAGGAGACGCAGCACGCAGAGUGGAAAGUGUGUGUGUUCCUGGGGCCACCCCUAUUCACUCACAGUGGUUAACCUGCACUAACAAGCACUGCCAGGUAGAAACACUUCCUAGUCUACAUGUGGACUGUAGCCUGCACAGACCUAGGGGGACUGACCAAAGGGGGGCGAAUGAGGGAAUAAAAGAUAAGAUACAAAAGAGUGUAUUUGUGCUCACGCACACCCCCUGGCGCAGGCCGACUGUGGCUCUGCCUACAGCGCUUCCUCCUGAGCUGCAGGAGGGCCAUGUCUUGUGGUCGUGUUUGCUGCAGCUUUGCCGUCUGGAUGGAGCCUGGCACUGAGCUGGUUGAGGCCGUCUGCAGGCCUUUACUGGGCUCUUCCCUUGGAAGCUUCUUACUGAUGCCAGGACCUCCCAGCAGGUGACCCUCAGCCCCACAGAUCACAGAAUUCCACACUCUUAGCUCCUAGAACUUUUCUCCCUCUUGUGUGAGAAUGCACAGACCACACACUCUUUCUUUGUUGCAGAGGUUCAGCCACCUUUUCUAACCUGAGACUCUGGGUGACAUAACUCCUGAUAGGUGAUAGCUCUUUGUAACAAUCACCAGCACCUUGCCCAGCCAAGGGCCCGGAAGCAAGAAAAAAACAACCAAAACACCAUGUCACAGCCAGGAGAGCCUUGCACGCUUCACACACAGCUCAACAAGCCUGGGUUUCCGGUGUCUCAACUCCUGCAGAAAUGAAGCCUCAAGUCAGGAAGGGUGAGGAGGGGCACGGACAAGGCCCAACGGCAGCAGGAUGGCGCAGAAAGCCUGAGGGACACAAAACCUUCUAGGCCUAGUCGUAGGCAGUGGGGCAGCACCGUGGAGCCACGUGGUAGAGGGAUAGCCGCCCUGUGUGUCCAGGGCAAGGUGGCACAGCAUGCCUGGACCGCUGAGAAGGAAGGACUUCCCUCAAGAAUGUGUCUUGCGCCGGGUGCAGGGGCUCACGCCUGUAAUCCCAGCACUUCAGGAGGCCAGGGUGGGUGGAUCGCCUGAGCCCAGGAGUUUGAGACCAACCUGGACAACAUAGUGAGACCAUCUCUACAAACAUAAAAAUAAAUUAGCUAGGCAUGGUGGCACAUGCCCGGGGUCUCAGUUACUGCAGAGGCUGAGGCAGGAGAAUCACUUAAACCCAGGAGUUCAAGGCUGCGGUGAGCUGAGAUCACACCACUGCACUCCAGCCUGGAUGACAGAACAAGACCCUGUCUUAAAAAACAGACAGACAACAAAAGAAUGUGUCUCUGAAAAAGGCCCACGUCUGUGGCUGUUAAACAGAGCAGCUCGUCUCCUGAGGCUGGAGCGAUGGAGCUGGAAGGGCCUCACAGCUGUCCGGGCCAGGCUCCUUGCUGCACAGGUGGGAUCUGCUGGCUCCAGAGAGUUCUUCAGACCCUGCAAGAGGGAUCUGAGAAGAGGGACCAGGCCCCCCGGUUCCCAGGCCCUGACUCUCCCACUGUUUGUCCUUCCCUGAUCAGAGCAGAUAAACAUCACCGUACCAUAGAUGGGACUUCUAGAAAUUCCCCACACAGGACUGGGUUAAUUCUAAGGUAUUGCUUUAGCUCUGUGAAGAAAAUGUAGUCAAUUUGUAAAAUUGAAGUCAAUUUGUAAAAUGACUCAAUUUGUAAAUGAAGUCAAUUUGUAAAAUA